RNAcentral lists this transfer RNA (72 nucleotides) under Microcaldota archaeon. Its description in RNAcentral is "Candidatus Micrarchaeota archaeon (hot springs metagenome) tRNA-His". It matches the Rfam family "tRNA". Rfam says of the family: Transfer RNA (tRNA) molecules are approximately 80 nucleotides in length. Their secondary structure includes four short double-helical elements and three loops (D, anti-codon, and T loops). Lineage: Archaea; Nanobdellati; Microcaldota. The record is from RNAcentral.
GCCACGGUGGUGUAGUGGUGAGCAUGGGGGCCUGUGGAGCCCUAGACCCGAGUUCGAAUCUCGGCCGUGGCC